Molecule: transfer RNA, 85 nt
Filed under: Felis catus (domestic cat)
Lineage: Eukaryota; Metazoa; Chordata; Mammalia; Carnivora; Felidae
Rfam family: tRNA
About the family: Transfer RNA (tRNA) molecules are approximately 80 nucleotides in length. Their secondary structure includes four short double-helical elements and three loops (D, anti-codon, and T loops).
Source: Rfam by way of RNAcentral
GCCUGUGUGGCUCAGUUGGUUGAGCUUCUGACUUCGGCUCAGGUCAUGAUCUCGCGGUCUGUGAGUUCGAGCCCCGCGUCGGGCU